UUCGAUUGUGCCAGCAGCCGCGGUAAUACGUAGGGGGCUAGCGUUGUCCGGAAUCAUUGGGCGUAAAGAGCGUGUAGGCGGCCCGGUAAGUCCGCUGUGAAAGUCAAAGGCUCAACCUUUGAAUGUCAGCGGAUACUGCCGGGCUAGAGUCCGGAAGAGGCGAGUGGAACUCCUGGUGUAGCGGUGGAAUGCGCAGAUAUCAGGAAGAACACCAACGGCGAAGGCAGCUCGCUGGGACGGUACUGACGCUGAGACGCGAAAGCGUGGGGAGCGAACAGGAUUAGAUACCCUGGUAGUCCACGCCGUAAACGAUGGGCACUAGGUGUGGGAGGUGUCGACUCCUCCCGUGCCGGCGCUAACGCAUUAAGUGCCCCGCCUGGGGAGUACGGCCG
Molecule: ribosomal RNA, 392 nt
Filed under: uncultured bacterium
Lineage: Bacteria
Description: bacterial SSU rRNA
Rfam family: Bacterial small subunit ribosomal RNA
Source: RNAcentral